Molecule: long non-coding RNA, 2885 nt
Organism: Canis lupus familiaris (dog)
Lineage: Eukaryota; Metazoa; Chordata; Mammalia; Carnivora; Canidae
Exons: 7
Source: RefSeq, a predicted model, not a curated record
CUGCCAGUUUGGUGGAGAAAUUCUCAGGUUGCCCAGGGCAACGAGGGAGUGUCCUGGGGGCACUGUUCUAGAAGACUGGCCAGUGACCUGUGUGAUGUCACCAGGAAGCAGCUGAGUAGAGAGGUGGUUCCAGAGGCCCCUCUGGAAGGGCCCAGGACAGAGCGCUCUGAGGGCCCCAGGGCUGGCUCCGCCUUAAGAGGGAACCUCCUUUACAGUAGUCUCUCAGCAGGUGGCAAUAGGCAAUAGGCAUACUCGUCCCACCUGGAGCCGGAUCUAAGUGUUUGCCCAGGGUAGAAGGCCAGACUGGGACCAUGAGCUCCAUUUGACAGAUGAAGAAAAUAAGGCUCAGCAAGAAACAGAAGCCAUCCUUGGUGUCCUUGCGGAGGUCCCCUGGGUGUGGGACAGAAGGGGUGUGUUAUGUUAUACAUGGGCCAGGCUAUGUCCCUGGACAGGUCCCAGUUCCCCAGGCAGGCCUAUCAGAAGAGCCUCCCCACUCAGGAAAAGUCAUAACCCCUUCCCACCAUCCAAAGGGUGAUCCUAAGCGCUCCCCAGAGGCCCUCUAGUCCCAGGAGGUAGAAACUAUCCGGAGUCAGGAUGCUGAGGGCCCAGCUUUCAGAUCAAAAAAUAAGAAGAAACCAAAAGAAGGAGGUUGUGUGGGCUGCCAGGAAAGGGGCUCUUGUCCCAGUGCUGGAUUCCUUACCUUGGUAGAAGGGCCAGACAACUUUGUUCUUCCUGAAGACACACAAGGGCGCCUCUACCCCCACUGCUGUGGGCCUGAGCGCAGAGCCUCAGGCCCCUCUCUUCUGACAUGAGGAAAAGAAGCUGCCUGGGUUCAUCUGGAGCCUGGGGGUUGGGAAUGAAGCAGAGGAGUGUGCUCCCAUGGUAUUUUUAUCCUCUGCUGCCUCAGACUGAUGAAAACGGCCCUAGAAUCCUGCAGCAGCCACCACACCAAGAAGAGCUUCCCCAGCACACCUGCCCCAGCCUGUUGCCCCUGCUGAAAACAGAUAAGUGUUAAAGUAAGUUCUCUCCCAGAGAACUAGAUCCUUGAAAGUGAGAAGAAUCUUGGAUGUCUAGUUCUACAAACAUUUGCCUUUCAUGGCUCACCUGAGAAGGCUCCGUCUGCAACUAGAACUGAGUUUCCCAGGCCCUCCAUGCACCUAUCCCCAGAACCUCUAAGAGCAAGCACUGCAGAGAGAAACAGCUGGGAAGAGCCCAGCUCCACCCCUACAAGGGACAGAGAAACGUUCACUUCUCUGUGUGGGCAGCUGCCUGAUGCUGGUGGGUGGGAUGCUGUGCCUGGGGUACCACUUGGCUGCUCACCUGGCAGGGACAGUGGCUCCUACAGCCUCAACUCAGUGAGCAUCACUCCCUCUCCUCAUCAUCCAGCCAGUCCAGCUGCCACUGGCCCCAGCUGGUCACCCAAAUGUCCAAUUCCUGCAAGGCUCUGAAACGAAGCCCCAGGUCCUCCCACUCCUCCCCAUCCAGAGUCUAGCCCCUUAGCACUACCCCCCUCACCUGUCACACUCUAUUAUGCUAGGACUCUGGCUGUGUGACUUUCUCUGACCUGUUGUCCCAUUUGUAAAAACCCUGCAGUGAAAUUAGUAGAAUGUCAUUACACCAAAACACCCACAAAACCCACCACCCUGCUACGAGGAUCAAAAUAAGGGAGGUGAUGAAGGGGUCUGUGCUUGAUAAACCAUAAUAAAAAGGACAACAGAAAGAACGCAAAACCUUUAGGCGACCCCUUAUUUCACUGCUCUCUUCGCGGAGGCGCCCCCACGUGUUGAUCCCGAGACGCUCCGUUAGCGCAGGCGCUCUUCGGUGUUUACAGGGGCCGCGAGGGCCAGCCUUUGCGCGUGCGCCUGCCGCCAGGGGCCGUCCAAUGGCCUAGGCUGCUUUCAGUAGGACGCGCCUCCUUAGCGCUUGUGGCAGUCCGGUCACAAGGGUUCCCUGGCGCCCCCAUGCGUCCCACUCUGGGUGAGGCAACCCCGCAGCCGCAGAGCGGCGGAGAUUUGAGAAGUGGCAGGAAGAGGCCCCGCGCCCCUGCUAUCCUUCUUUUCUGGGGACUCCAGCAUCUCAGCCCCCACUCCGCUCCGCUAAACCUCGGUAGUCAGCUCUGAUAUCCGUCACAGCAGACAUGGCGGACACGGUGCCGUGGACCGCCGAGACCCGCGCGCUGCCUUAUGGGAGUCGUAGUUUAAGCCUAGAACCCUUCUGGAGUUGGAACACUUUAAAAACUACAUUUCCCAGAAGCCAAAAGAGCCAGAGUCGCUGAAGACAGCUCGGGGCAUGCUGGGGGAUGGAGUUUGGCGACCAGGGUUUGCGGGAGCAGGGAGAUGCGGUGAAGCAGGAGCGCCCAGUGGUCGGAGGCUUGUGGGCUCCAGGCACGCGACACCCUGUGGUUCCUCUGGUGUAUUGUCUUCCUCAUAGCAUGGGUCAAUAAACCUGACUUCGUUGGACUAUGGGUUUGUCUCUGGUGGUCUUCAGCUGAUUGGGCUAGGACACCCUGAAAUACAGUUCUCCAGAUGCUGCAACAAGCCCCCUCUUCAUUGCAUACUCUUUGGAUGACCCCAUUCACUUCCAUCCAUAUGCUGAUGAUCCCCCCGCCCCCCCAAAAUACCCCUCCAGCUCAAGAAUUUCUCCUUCUUCUGGGACAUCUGCUUCUGGUUUUGGUUUCAGUUUUGAAACCACUCCUCACUGCUGUGUUCAAGUUAAGAACUAGGCUCUGAAUACCUCUGACAAGAAGAUGGGUGGGGACACUCCUCACCUGGAUCAGAUAUCUCCUCAAAACUGCAUCACACUGAAUCAGCUGCAUUUCACAUAGGAUCCCUGGGUGGCUCAGCGGUUUAGCGCCUGCCUUCGGCCCAUGGCCUGAUCUUGGAGUC